Molecule: long non-coding RNA, 32910 nt
Filed under: Triticum aestivum (bread wheat)
Lineage: Eukaryota; Viridiplantae; Streptophyta; Magnoliopsida; Poales; Poaceae
Description: long non-coding RNA (TAES_LNC006837)
Source: RNAcentral
AAAAAUCAAACACAAAUAUAUUUAUAUGACCAAUAUAGCAUAUUCAACACAUAUUACCAAUAGUCAUGAACACAUAUAUAUCCAACACAUGUUACCAAUAAUAGCAAGUUUCAUCCGUACAUAUACAUAGUUUCAUCAAUAUUACGCAGUUUCAUCCAUAGGUAGCAAGUUUCACAACGUCAAAACAAAAACUAAAUACAAGCACUCCAUCAACCCAAGCUUCCGUGAUCUUAAGCAAAUCUGUAAAAUGGGAAAGAAGAAAAUUAGAAGAAGAAGACUAGAAGAAGAAGAUUAUUAUGAUGCAGAAAUAUGCAUGGAUUGUCAAAACUUGCAUUAUCCUACUAUCACUAGUACAACAAAGCUGCAGGUUGGCAUAGUUCAUGAACCAUGUACAUCAUGACAAAUACAAUAUCAUCCAAUGCUCGACUAUGAACAAAAUUGAACAAUUACACCUCACAAAGGCAAAGCAUAGAACCAACAAGCAAGUAGGAGGGGUAUAAGAGGACUUGAGGAGCUCACUGGAGGGGGUUCUAGCCUAGGCCGAGCUUCAUCACCAUGGAUGCGGCUAGGGGAAUCAGACGAGUCUACCAUCAUAGGAGCAGCAGCACCACCACCGCCAAAACUGGAAUGACCGGAGCGAAUCACCAUCAUAUGUGUACAACUACCAGUGUUGUAGUACUUGAGGAAGAUGAAUAUAACACAGCUCACACACAUAGGUACAAAGUAAUAGAAUACAGACAAGUUACUAAGUGGAGUAGUAGUAGAAGGGACCUAAGCUAGCACCCAUGCCAAGAGACAUACUACUAGUAAAUUGUUGUUAUGGGUGAGACAAGAGCACAAGUGGUGCUGCUAGAGAGGGAACUAUGGGCACUCGGAAUAAAUUAACAGAGUAUGCAUGCAUGGGAAAACUCAAGAGUAAAAUUGGAAGUAAAUUGAGCCAUCUAAACAGUAAAAAAAAUAGCACAAGCAAGAACAAAAGUUCAGCAAACAGCCGGAUCCACUACGAACUGACUAGCAGUAAAUCCUUCAUGGCUAAAAUAUAAUAACAGAGCAAAAGGAUCGAGAUGGCUCACGCAUCACUCGCCAUGAGCUACCUGGGGAAAACAAUAUGAGCCACAGUUAGCCAAUUUUAGGAUAACACUAGUAAGAUGCCCGUGCGUUGCACGGAACAACAAGAUGCAUGUUGAGAUUGACAUGUGCGCGAGUAGGUCUCAUGUCUAACAGUACUUAUAUCUUUAUCUUACAUCAGAUGUGCAAUCCUGCUCCCCAACAAAAUUACAUUUUUUUGGUUAUGUGCAAAAUUUCAUGAAGAAAAAAAUAUUUGUGAUGCUUUGCACAAUAUUAAACAAAAUCGAUGCUCCAAGAAGCUUUAAAAAUGAUCAAUUUUUGUUUGUCCCGACCACCAUUUUAUGUUAUUCCUUCACGAAAUGGUAUGCACAUCUAUAACACUCCAGCAAAUUUGUAGCCAAAAUAAAUAAGUUUUUUGAAUUUUAUUAUUAUUAUUCUAAUUAUACUAUUCAACUAUAUGUAUGUGAUCUUAGGAAGUCCGUGUCACAUCUUUCUUCUUCUACUUCUAAUUAGAAAUGCACACGUCCGACUCAAAAAUAAAUAAGAAAUGCACACCAAAAUUGAUUGUACAGCUAACAUGCUUUUCUUGGCACACAUGACAUUUUCGUGUAUCAAUACAAAUUCAGACUCAAGUUGUAGUAUGAAUAUAAUCUGUAGCCUGAACAUAAUGUUUGUUUGGCUCCAUGGGGCUCCUGACUAUUCACCUCUUCACAGACUAAUUCAUAGGGUGGAAGGAACACCACAACUACUUCUGCACAUACAGUUACAAGAUUAUAAGGCGUAUAUUAUCUCUUUGCUAUUAUCAAUGUCGAGAUCGUGUUUGAGCAAAAAAACAUACAGUAUCUAAAUGGUUACUCCUCAAGACCAUUCACCACUCAUGACAACAAAAGGUGAAUGGAAGAUUCAGAAAUCAAGUAAGGCUUUUAUGGCCGAGCAAACAGAAUUAAGUUAUGCAGCAGAUGGCAGAGUAUGCAGCAGACCGUUUAAAGCACAAAAUAGGAUGGAUCGUAGCUUGCGUCAUAUUCUUUCUUCAGCAUAACUUCAGGACCAAUAUAUGCCGGAGUUCCAACAAUUGAAUGGUUCAGAAUGAUGAACCAAUGAAAGUAGAAUAGAAAACAACAUGAGUUCAAAUCAUUUAGAAAAUUAGUAUCCAUCCCAACAUCUGUUUGUUACAAGACAGCAAGCAUGGAAGACAUGAAUUUAUGUGGUGUGUUGUGUGCAAUAUACGAAAAGUUAGAGGAAGCCCAAACAUCGAGGAAAAAGUUUAGAAUCCAAGAUUCAUGUCUCGUGCAUACAUUAAUUAGAAAAUUAGACCAUGAAAAUGUUUCCCCACAGCCGUACACCUACAACACUUGAAAAUAUUCUAAUCAAGCAUGUGCCACCAUUUCACACCAGAUAUAUGUUUUAAUGCCCUUACCAAUAGUCUGUGUAUUAACGUGAAGUCGUGAACCCCUUCUAUCCUCGCCACAAAGAUUUUGUUUCUUUGAUCUUGAGGAGGAAAAUUAAUUGAAUCCCCCUUCUCCCUUUUCUACAACUGAAAAUUAAUUGAAUCCCCCUUUGCAGAUCCACAAACAAUUCGUUCCUAAACAUUUCACAAAACACAUGUUUAGGGGACCACGAUUUCAAUCAUGAACGGGUCUGAUACACAACUGUACUCCAAAAAUUGACAAUUGUUUUGAUCUGGUAGGAGAAACACAUGACUUACAGGGGGGUGAGCAUGGUUGGGAUGGUCAUAGUGGCUCGAGGUAGUUGACACCAGCGCGGCCGGGAACAAGCAGAUCGCCCCGGAAAAACUCCUCCGCAUCUGCAGUGCCCAUGAUGACUCAUGGCGUUCGAGGCACGGAAGAAAGGGACUCAUGUUGGAGGUUGAGAACCAGAGCCUGCAUAAAAUGGAAUCAACCCAUUAGCCACACACAGAAAACAAAGUACUUACUAUAUACUCCACUAUCCUCCCCGUCUCCGAUGACCUGCGUAGCCAGGUCUAGAAGGAGAGGUCGUUGGUAAAGCACGAAGCCAAAUGUAAUAACGCUAUAGGGAGCAGUAGUAGUUAGCAAAUUCAGCAGCAGCAAACACACCGAUGCAGCCCAAGCUCGUCCUGUUCCAGAUCGAGCACUCUCAACACUGCCUCCUCUUCCCAACACACCCCUUCUUCAACCACCAGACACAGCAGCAGCAGAGGAUCUCGUCCUAUGGCAGCCUCCGGUCCCGCGACUUCUUCUCCAGCUGCCUCGCCAGGCGAGGAGGGGCGGCUGCCUCACCUUGUGGGGCUCGGGCCCAUGUCGGCGAGGGGCCUGCGGCCGGCAGGCUGGCGCAGCCCACCAUGCGACCCUGGGUCACGUGCUGGAGGAGAGCCGACAGAGUCGAGCAGGGGGAACCCCUCACAAAAAAAGUCGAGCAGGGGGGGCGAUGUGGCGGCGCCUGCUGUAGGAACAUAGGACGUAGGCGGCGGCAAUGGACUUGGCAGCGAGGUUGGGCUCUUGGUAGACUGGAUCCAGAGCGAGGGUAAGUCCGGGAGGCAACGGAGGAGAGCAGUGACGCGAGAUCCAGGCGGGGGAAGUCCGUUAUGCCCUGAGUGCGGCCGCGGCGGCGGCGAGCGUGCGCGAGCUGGAGAGGAUGGAGUGGCGGCGAGAUUGCAUCUGGGGCGGCGACAAUGGAGUGGGAUGGGAUAGGGUUUGGGUGGUUGGGCUGCCCGGGGGGUGGGGGUUCUUUUUCUUUUUUUCUCUUUUUUUUUUGUUUACAUAAAUGGGAUGGAUGGAUGGAUGGAUGGAUGCCAUGUCAUCAAUCCAUGACACAAACAUUUUAAUCAAUGAGAACAAAAAUAACCUCACAGUUUUUUUUACCUGAAAAAAAAUUACCCCAUCUCUUUGCCAUCUGCCAGCAGAUGGCAAAGAGGUGGGGCUGGUACGCCGUUACACUCUUGACGACCACAGGAUUUGCCAACCUCUUUGCCAUCUGCUGGCAGAUGACAAAGAUUAUUUGCCAUCCACUAGCAGAUGACAAAGAAUUGGCUGAUGGCAACCAUGUUCUUUGUCGUCUGUCAGUUCUUUGCCAUCUGAUUUUUAUAAGAAGAUGGCAAAGACGUUCUUUGCCAUCAGCUGACAGAUGGCAAAGAGCUGGUUGAUGGCAAAUUCCUUGUUUCCAGUAGUGCAGGCUGUUUGGAUAGUACUUGUCGUCAUCUAGCCAACAAGCUUGAGUUUUCUCAAUUCAGAGCUCAUAUGCAGAAGUUACGACAGUUCUGGUUUUCCUGCAUCCUUCUAUUUGCUUGGGCUAUUUUGAAGCUCACUAGCGGUAAUACCGCCCUGGGUAGUGGUAGUAGCGCUUGCGCGGUACUUCCACGGUUCCAGUGUCGCGGGAACUUCCGCUUAUUCAUGGGCUUCUGGAUACUUUGUCAUCUCAGCGGGAGUCGGGUGGUAGUAGAGCGCGGUAGUACCGCUUGCACGGUACUUCCGGCCUUCUACUACCGCUGGAACCUUCGCUUAUAUUUUUGCCUCCAGAUACGUUUUCCCUCUGCGUGGAAGUAGAGCGACAGUACUGGGUGGUAGUACCGCUCCAUGCAGUAGUACCGCGCUGCCCUACUCUACUACCGCGGUUUCACCUGUACACGCAACACCUAGCGGUAGUACCGCUGGUGGGAGCGGUAGUACCGCUCCGGCGGCACUACUGCCUCCUUGAGUUUCUCAGUUUACAUGUUACGACUGAAACUACCGUGCCAACGGAAGUACCGCUCGCCCGAGCGGCACUACCGCUUGUGCACGGGCUGUGUGCAUAACGGUUGGAUUUUCCCUUCCUAUAAAAGGGGGUCUUCUUCCCUAAUGGUUUCAAUCACUUGAGUUCGUGUUCUUUCCUCAUUGUUGACCUUCUUCGAGCUUGCUAUCUCUCAAUCCCUCCAAUGAUUCUUGUUAGUUCUUGAGGGAAAAGAGAGAGGAGAUCUAGAUCCACAUUUCCACCAAUCACUCUCUCCCCUAUGUGAGGGGACCCUCUUGGUUCUAGAUCUUGGAGUUCUUCGUGUUCUCUUCUUCGUUCUUCCUCUCAUUUUCCUCCAUAACACUAGUUGUUGGGGUGGGAUUUGGGAGAGAAGGACUUGGGCACUCCGUGUGCCCUUGCCAUUCUAUUUGGUGCAUCGUUUUGAGUUUUCCACAGUGAUACGUGGAGGUAAAAGUUGAGAAGCUUAUUACUCUUGGGUGCUUGGUACCAUAGAGCUUGUUCCUCUUGGGUGCUUGGGCGCGCUAGACGGUUGGUGGUGCUUUAGAGCUCAAUCAUUGUGGUGUAAAGCUCCGGGCAAGCGUUGGGGUCUUCAAUUAGGUUGUGGAGAUCGCUCCGAGCAAUUUGGACGGGUUCUAGCGACCGCCCCCAAGGGUUGCCAAAGUGUACAGGUUUGGUGACCGCACCCAAGGGUUGCCAAAGUGUACGGGCUCGGUGACCGCCUCCAAGGGUUGCCAAUUGUAUGGGUUCGGUGACCGCCCUCAAGGGUCUCUUAGUGGAAUCACGACAUCUUGCAUUGUGCGAGGGCGUGAGGAGAUUACGGUGGCCCUAGUGGCUUCUUAGGGAGCAUUGUGUCUCCACACCGCUUCAAAUAGAGAUUGGCAUCCGCAAGGGUGUGAACUUCGGGAUACAUCGUCGUCUCCGCGUGCCUCGAUUAUCUCUUACCCGAGCUCUUUACUUAUGCAGUUUAUCUUGUGAUAGCCAUAGUGUUCUAUGAUAUAUAUUUUGCUAUCACCUAGCUAUUUAUCUUGCUUAGCAUAAGUUGUUGGUGCACAUAUAUGAGUCUAGUUGUUUUAGAUUUUGCGCUUGACAAAUUAAACGCUAGUUUUAUUCCGGAUUUGUUCAAGUCUAAACUGUAAUUAUCUUAAAAUGCCUAUUCACCCCCCCUCCAAGCGACAUCCCACGAUCUUUCACUUCCCGAAAUGGUGAAGAAGUUCCAGCCAUCUUAUUCCACUACACCGCUGUCACCACCACAUGCUGAAGAAACCUACCUUACUAUUUACGCAUCUAAGGCUCGGAUCCGGGUUCCUCCACUUUCUCACCGCCGGAACAACGGCCGAAGAGCGAAGAAACUGCCGAUCCGGCCGUCGGCGAAAACGAGGGACGAAGUCGCCUUCUUCUCCGCCUCCUAGGGGUUUCCUCAUGCGGUUGGAGAAAGAGAGUGUUCACAACAGCCCACGUUUCAGAUCCGACGGUCCACAUCUAUGUUUUCAGGUUUCCAUAGGUUUUUACUACACGAGGCUUUCUCCAAAAAGAAAGAAAACAUGGCUUUGGCUAGUGGUGUUCAAGCGGGGCGUCCCGAUUCCGGCUACUGUUCCGGCCCCAAGUCGGUCUGGUGAACCCUAUUCCAGUGCGUCCUACCGCCUCCGUGUCGAUUCCCACUACAAACCCUCCCCCGACCAGAACAGAAGAAGAGAACCUUUCGUCUCGGCGGUCCCCCACUGACCCCCGACCCCGAACCCUCGCCGGCCCGCCCAUCCAUGGACUUCGCGGAGCAGGACGUCGACGUCUUCGGCGAGGAAUACGACGGCGCCGAAGCCGAGGCCGAGGGCGGAGGCGGCGCCUCCUCCGGCUCCUCCUCCCCCUCCUCAUCCUCCUCCUCCUCCGCCGCCGCCUCCUCCUCCUCCUCCAGCGCCGCCUCCAGCGGCCGCAGCAGCAGCCCCGCCGCCGGCGGCGGGGACGAGGACGGCGCUGACGACGGGGACGGCGGGGAGUACGACUCGUUCGACGUCGUGCCCGUCAGGCCCGCCGCCGGGUACGGGGACGACGAGGAGGAGGCUAGAGAUUUGUUUGGCUCCGACAACGAGGAGUACGUCAAGACCCCCGCGCGUAGCAACUACCUAGUUCCAGGUCCGCCUCUCUACUGAAUUAGCCGCUAUAGAUUCUUCUGGGCCAAGUUCGUCUCCUCAGUGUUUAGCGAGCAGAAUUUCUUAGGAGAUUGCUACAUAACCCUAUCCAGUUUCUGUGUGAUUGGCUGGUUCUGUUGCUCGUGGGGCUCUGGGAGCUGCAGUGAGCGUUUGGUCUGUGGCAGAAUUAACCUUCUCGCUUCAGUACACGAUGAACUCUUCUUGCUGCAGACUUGUGUUCGAAUCAUUGUUCCAACUUUCAGCGGUGUAUGUCAGAGCAUAAUGUUGGAUUAAAUUCUCUGCUAGCAUCUUCUGGUUCUUGCUUGAAUUUGUAGAGUCAGAGAGACUUGAGUUACAAAAGCAUUAAGCAGAAGUACUGAAGAGAGUAGAAGAACGAACCAUGAAACCAUAUAUAUAAUUGGGUCACUGUGAGUUGGAAAGAUACAUUCGACUAUCUUCAUGUCCUUUUUGGGUUGAAACUAGACAAGUAUACUAAAGAACGGCAAUCUGUAAAUAACUAAAAUUCGAACUUAAUUCUGCAGUAAAUUACAACUAGGAAUAAGGCUGAAUCUAAUCUCAUUCUGUUUCCCAAACAAACUUGAUCACAGUUUCUUCCACAAUACCAUCUCACUAGACUACGAUAGAUAUAAGGGUUUAAAAAUCAAACAUAAUGAUCAGCACUGAAAAUGUGACUGUAUUUCCAUGCUUUGUGCGUAUCUAGCCUAAAUCAUGCUCAUGCUUUGUGUGUAUCUAACUGAAAUCUGCGCACACUCAACCUAUAUAUACUCCAUUAGUGAUACAUAACGCCCAUGCUUUUUGGCGGAGAAUGUGACGACUGGAUUGUUUCCCUUGCCUGGAUACUCGAUAUUCUGGGGACUUGGUAGCUAGUGCUUUGAAAAGUCCAGUGUAUCUAGGUUGGGAGAUAAGGCAUUAACACCCUCUUAUAUGUUCUGCCUCUCUUUGUAGUGCUGCCCCCGAUACGGAACACCAACAAUUUUUCUCGAGGAGGACGAGGUGGCAGGGGCCCACCUAUUCUUCCAAGGCCAGGAGGCCAUCCAGGAGGACGAAAUAAUUAUGGCCACGGCGGGAGGUUUUCAUAUGGAAAUGGGCGUAACGUUGAAGGUUUUGUUUCAGAAAUGAAACUUAAUAAGAGUGAAGAAACUUUAUCUAGGAAAGCGGUUGCUUUUCAAGAGGUGCAUAACAGUACCGUGUUCUUUUGAUUUUCGUUUGAUGUAUUUGUUCUCUGAAGGGCUAUCCUUUGUUACCUCAUGCAGCCAUGUGAGAUCGCAUGCUACAGCCGUGUUGAGGGUGGGGAUGUAUAUUUUGAUGAUCGCAGCUUGGUAAGAUCUCAGAGUUGUUGAUUAUCAAUUUCAUUAUCUAUGAGUGUGAACCUUUGAUUUCUGAAUACACGUUUUUUUUAAAGAAAGUUUGCCCUAAAAUUUGGCUGUUGUACUAAACAUCCAUUUUUGUAGAGGCUUUUCAAACGUAAUAUUUGUGACUAUGCUGGUGAAGAUCUAAAUAAAGGAUUUGAAACGUUUAUAGAGAAAAGAGGUACUUCCUUUCUGAAGUUAUGUUUGUUGUUUCUACAUUCUAGUUAAUACUAUCAACUCGAUUGUUGUUAUUGCCUGAAAAUUGUUCCCUACAAACUCUGUUUCAGUUGUCACAUAAUAACCUACACACAUUUAUAUGGAGAUCUUGAUAGCAUGGGACCUUUCCCUUAUUCUAUAUGGUAGAGUCAACUGUUUUGUAUUGCAGGUGGGUCUUGAAACCUUAAGUGAACCACUUAUAAGGCAUCUACAUAGAUAAACUUUUUUCAUAGUGAGUUUGCGCUAUUGUACUAUAUUUCAGCUGAGGUAUUGCAUCUGUGUUUUUCGUAAGAUUGGAUAAUUUUGUUUGCAUAUAAGGAAGGACCUGAAAGAAAAUAAAUCUUCAAGAAUUAACAGACUAACUGUUUCCAAUAUACAAUGGAAAGGAAUGAAAUUAUUGAAGUUAAUUCCGAAAUUUAUUUCUUGAACAGUAGGAUCCAUUAAUAAUUCAGUUAUUUUGGAAAUUUUUCUUCCUCUUGAAUUCGUUUUUAUCUGAGAGCAUUCAUUCGUGGUUAAUGUGGUGUAAUGCCAGAUUUGGGUUCUCAAGGAUUUGGCGAUCUUCUUGCAUGCAUAAGAAAUUCAAAUCUACCUCUUCAGAAUAUACAUUUUGUGGUAAAAUGCAUUAUUGCCAACUUCAUAUUUGUUAUUUUGGUAUGCUAUGCUUGGAAUUUCUGAUCAUGUAUAUGCUCCUCUUGCAGACGUAUCGCAACAACCUUAACAAGGUAUGGUCCUCUCAGUGUAGACUAUUUAAAUCAACAACAACAACAACAACAACAACAAAGCCUUUAGUCCCAAACAAGUUGGGGUAGGCUAGAGGUGAAACCCAUAAGAUCUCGCAACCAACUCAUGGCUCUGGCACAUGGAUAGCAAGCUUCCACGCACCCCUGUCCAUAGCUAGCUCUUUGUCGAUACUCCAAUCCUUCAGGUCUCUCUUAACGGACUCCUCCCAUGUCAAAAUCGGUCGACCCCGCCCUCUCUUGACAUUCUCCGCACGCUUUAGCCGUCCGCUAUGCACUGGAGCUUCUGGAGGCCUGCGCUGAAUAUGCCCAAACCAUCUCAAACGAUGUUGGACAAGCUUCUCCUCAAUUGGUGCUACCCCAACUCUAUCUCGUAUAUCAUCAUUCCGGACUCGAUCCUUCCUCGUGUGGCCACACAUCCAUCUCAACAUACGCAUCUCCGCCACACCUAACUGUUGAACAUGUCGCCUUUUAGUCGGCCAACACUCCGCGCCAUACAACAUUGCGGGUCGAACCGCCGUCCUGUAGAACUUGCCUUUUAGCUUUUGUGGCACUCUCUUGUCACAGAGAAUGCCAGAAGCUUGGCGCCACUUCAUCCAUCCGGCUUUGAUUCGAUGGUUCACAUCUUCAUCAAUACCCCCAUCCUCCUGCAACAUUGACCCCAAAUACCGAAAGGUGUCCUUUCGAGGUACCACCUGGCCAUCAAGGCUAACCUCCUCCUCCUCACAGCUAGUAGUACUGAAACCGCACAUCAUGUACUCGGUUUUAGUUCUACUAAGCCUAAACCCUUUCGAUUCCAAGGUUUGUCUCCAUAACUCUAACUUCCUAUUUACCCCUGUCCGACUAUCGUCAACUAGCACCACAUCAUCCGCAAAGAGCAUACACCAUGGGAUAUCUCCUUGUAUACCCCUUGUGACCUCAUCCAUCACCAAUGCAAAAGAUAAGGGCUCAAAGCUGACCCUGAUGCAGUCCUAUCUUAAUCGGGAAGUCAUCGGUGUCGACAUCACUUGUUCGAACACUUGUCACAACAUUAUUGUACAUGUCCUUGAUGAGGGUAAUGUACUUUGCUGGGACUUUGUGUUUCUCCAAGGCCCACCACAUGACAUUCCGUGGUAUCUUAUCAUAGGCCUUCUCCAAGUCAAUGAACACCAUAUGCAAGUCCUUCUUAUGCUCCCUAUAUCUCUCCAUAAGUUGUCGUACCAAGAAAAUGGCUUCCAUGGUCGACCUCCCAGGCAUGAAACCAAACUGAUUUUUGGUCACGCUUGUCAUUCUUCUUAAGCGGUGCUUAAUGACUCUCUCCCAUAGCUUCAUUGUAUGGCUCAUCAGCUUAAUUCCACGGUAAUUAGUACAACUCUGAACAUCCCCCUUGUUCUUGAAGAUUGGUACUAAUAUACUCCGUCUCCAUUGUUCUGGCAUCUUGUUUGCCCGAAAAAUGAGGUUGAAAAGCUUGGUUAGCCAUACUAUCGCUAUGUCCCCAAGACCUUUCCACACCUCAAUGGGGAUACAAUCAGGGCCCAUCGCCUUGCCUCCUUUCAUCCUUUUUAAAGCCUCCUUCACCUCAGACUCCUGGAUGCGCCGCACAAAACGCAUGCUGGUCUCAUCAAAGGAGUCAUUCAGUUCAAUGGUAGAACUCUCAUUCUCCCCAUUGAACAGCUUGUCGAAGUACUCCCGCCAUCUAUGCUUAAUCUCUUCGUCCUUCACCAAGAGUUGGCCUGCUCCGUCCUUGAUGCAUUUGACUUGGCCAAUAUCCCUCGUCUUCCUCUCCCGGAUCUUAGCCAUCUUAUAGAUGUCCCUUUCACCUUCCUUCGUGCCUAACCGUUGGUAGAGGUCCUCAUAUGCCCGACCCCUUGCUUCACCAACAGCUCGCUUUGCGGCCUUCUUCGCCAUCUUGUACUUCUCUAUGUUGUCUGCACUCCUAUCCAGGUAUAGGCGUCUCAAGCAAUCUUUCUUCUCUUUAAGCGCCUUCUGGACAUCAUCAUUCCACCACCAGGUAUCCUUGUCUUCGCUUCUCCUUCCCCUGGACACUCCAAACUCCUUCGAGGCCACCUUACGAAUGCAAGUCGCCAUCUUCAUCCACACAUUGUCCGCAUCCCCUCCUUCCUCCCAAGGGCCCUCCUUAAAUACCCUCUCCUUGAACACCUGAGCUACCCCCCCCUUGAGCUUCCACCACUUCGUUCUAGCGACCUUGGCACGCUUAUCCCGCUGGACACGAAUCCGAAAGCGGAAGUCAGCAACCACCAGCUUAUGCUGGGGUACAACACUCUCCCCAGGUAUCACCUUACAGUCUAGGCACGCACGCCUAUCUUCUCUUCUCGAGAGGAUGAAAUCAAUCUGGCUAGAGUGUUGGCCACUACUAAAAGUCACCAGAUGUGAUUCUCUCUUUCUAAAGAGGGUGUUAGCUACAAUCAUGUUGUAGAAUAGAGCAAAGCUUAAGACAUCUUCUCCUUGAUUCCUGAUGCCAUAGCCAAAGCCCCCAUGCGCCCCUUCAAAACCUGUGUUAGAUGUACCCACGUGGCCAUUGAGGUCUCCUCCUAUGAAGAGCUUCUCACCAAUUGGUACACUCCUAACCAUGUCUUCCAAGCCUUCCCAGAACUCCCUCUUGGUGUUCUCAUUGUGGCCUACUUGCGGGGCAUAUGCGCUGAUAACAUUGAGAACCAAGUCCUCAGCUACCAGCUUGACCAGGAUAAUCCGGUCCCCACGUCUCCUGACGUCUACCACUCCAUACUUGAGGCUCUUGUUGAUCAAGAUGCCUACGCCAUUUCUGUUUGCAGCCGUCCCCGUGUACCACAGCUUGAAGCCGGUAUCGUCCACCUCCUUCGCCUUCUGUCCUCUCCAUUUGGUUUCUUGGACGCAAAGGAUAUCAACACCUCUCCUCACUGCUGCAUCAACUAGCUCCCGAAGCUUCCCUGUCAGAGACCCUACGUUCCAGCUACCUAAGCGAAUCCUCCUAGGCUCGGCUAGCUUCCUUACCCUUCGCACUCGUCGAGUCAAAUGCGAAGACCCUUGCUCAUUUUCCACUACAUCCGGGCGCCGAUGUAGCGCGCCACUAAGGAUGCGACGACCCGAUCCUCGCUCACUUGCCACCAUAUCCGGAUCAAGAUACGGCGCGCCACUUGGGGGGUGACGGCCCGGCCCUUGCCCAUUUUCCACCACACCCGGGUUCCGAUGUGGCGCGUCGCUGAGAGGGUUACGCCCCAACGAAAAUCUUUUGGGUUUCAUCUCCAUAAGAGUGGCUGAGUUUUUACGUUGGCUUGCCAAGCCUAUCACAACCCUCCUCCUUUACCCGGGCUUGGGACCGGCUAUGUUGAGACAACAUAGGCGGAGUUAGUGCAGACUAUUUAAAUCAUAACAUUUUUUUUCUUUUCCGUUGCUGUAACUUAUGUUUUCCAUGUACAAGAAUCAGGUAGUUAUCCUUACAGCUUACCAUGUUUUUUGUAUCUAGUUUAAUUGAAUGACAGAUGCAUAUAUAUUUUGCAGGACACUGUAAUAGAACUGUUUUUUUUUUGUGUAAUUUCUUUUACUAUGCUUGUAUGCUGACAGAGUCUAUGUGACUAUUUGUAAAAUCGUCAGAUAUUGGCCACGGCUUAUCUAAAAGAUCCAUGGAAGAUGGGUGUGCACAAAAGAAACGGUGUUGUAUACCUUGAUGUCCAUAAGCUCCCUGAAAGACCACAGAGCGAGAUUGAGCGCAGGAGGUGACUCUCCCUUCCCUCCCCCGCCCCCCCCCGGCGUUCUUGUUGACAAUAGGAAGAGUUACAAAGGAAAUAGUGUUAUGGUAAUCCUACCUACGCAGGGGGUAUUUUGUUAAGUUUGAGUUUGAUGUUUCAUGGUGCUCUCUCUCUCUCUCUCUAGCAUUAGGAAGAUUGAGUUACAAAGAACAUAGUCGGAAUUUAGUAUGCUGAAUAUGGUGAUGCUUUGAGUUUGUAAUUAAUUCUUAUAGGAAUUGUGAUAGCCCAAGGGUAAUCUGGUAGGACUAGGGUUCCUACCGACUCGGUUCCUUAGGUUGUAGGGGCAGAACAGCGGAGGUCGGGGGCGAGCACGCGAGCUCCGGCGCGUCGGCGCCGUCGCGAGGGAGGAGAAGGGCGGCGGUGGUUAGGGCAGGAGAGGGCUAGGGUUUCCGGCUCCUCUGGAGCCGGGCAAUAGGAUAGAUACAUCUUUAUUGCUUAAUUCCGAAAAGAGUCUUACAACCUAUAUUUAUAACCUAGAUAACUUGCAUAAGAAUUAACCUAAGAUAACUUGCAUAAGAAUUAACCUAAGAUAACUUGUGGGCUAAGAUGCCUGGUGGGCCUAGCUAAACCGGCCAUAACACUUCUCCCCGCCUGCACAAACAACUCGUCCUCGAGCUGUAAGGUGGGGAAGCGCUUGCGGAACUCCUCGAGGCGAUCAGCCAGCGUCAAGCACCUUCUCGACAGCUGGGGCGGCCAGGUCAGCAGCGACGGCGUCCUCCGGAAUGUAGUCUGCAACCUCCAGGUAGAAGAGUCGCGAGCAGGCAUGGCCGGGCGUGUAGGGCUCGUCGCAGUUGAAGCACAACCCUUUGCGGCGACGCUCGAGGAGCUCGGCUGGGGUGAGCCGGCGGAACGGGCGUCCCGCGGUCGCGGUGAGGGGUGCCGCAAAAGCCUGCGCAGGCCGACCCGACGCGGAAUCCGGCCCGGGUAGCGACCCAACGGUCUGGAACGGUGAGUCCUGCUGGAUGGCCACCGCGCGGCGCUCGAACGCGCGGGCGUAGUACAUGGCCGACUGGAGAUCCUGGGGUCCCCGAAGCUCAACGUCCACGCGGAUGUGAUCCGGAAGGCCACCGACAAAGAGGUCGGCCCGCUGCUGCGCCAUCACACACGACGCAUGGCAUGCCAGAGCCUGGAAACGGUCGGCGUAGUCCCGCACCGUGGAGGUGAAGGGAAGGCGGCCGAGCUCCGCCAGGCGGCUCCCGCGAACCGAGGACCCAAAGCGGAGGAGGCAGAGCUCGCGGAAGCGCUCCCAAGGAGGCAUGGCGCCCACGUCCUGCUCGAGAGCGUAGUACCAUGUCUACGCGCCGCGGAGGUGAUAAGAGGCGAGCCAGGUACGGUCCGAGGCGAGGGUGCGCUGCCCGCGAAAGAACUGGUCGCACUGGUUGAGCCAGUUGAGGGGGUCCUCCGUGCCGUCAUACGUGGCGAAAUCGAGCUUGGCGAACCGGGGCGGCUGCUGGUGUGGCGCGCCAUGGCCCACUGCCUCGGCGGUGCGGAGGGCUGAUGACGGAGCCCGGUCCAUGGUGGGAAGGCCAGCGUAGUUCCUCGUGGCGCCUGACGCCUCGGGCUGCAACUGGGAACCCGACGGCGGCCGGGCCUCCGUAUAAGCCGGUGGAGGGGACGUCCCGUGGAGCCAGCCUGGAAGUGGAGACGGUGACGACGGAAAGCGGACCUCCUGGAUCGGAAGUCCGCUCGGCGUGGACCGACCCNNNNNNNNNNNNNNNNNNNNNNNNNNNNNNNNNNNNNNNNNNNNNNNNNNNNNNNNNNNNNNNNNNNNNNNNNNNNNNNNNNNNNNNNNNNNNNNNNNNNNNNNNNNNNNNNNNNNNNNNNNNNNNNNNNNNNNNNNNNNNNNNNNNNNNNNNNNNNNNNNNNNNNNNNNNNNNNNNNNNNNNNNNNNNNNNNNNNNNNNNNNNNNNNNNNNNNNNNNNNNNNNNNNNNNNNNNNNNNNNNNNNNNNNNNNNNNNNNNNNNNNNNNNNNNNNNNNNNNNNNNNNNNNNNNNNNNNNNNNNNNNNNNNNNNNNNNNNNNNNNNNNNNNNNNNNNNNNNNNNNNNNNNNNNNNNNNNNNNNNNNNNNNNNNNNNNNNNNNNNNNNNNNNNNNNNNNNNNNNNNNNNNNNNNNNNNNNNNNNNNNNNNNNNNNNNNNNNNNNNNNNNNNNNNNNNNNNNNNNNNNNNNNNNNNNNNNNNNNNNNNNNNNNNNNNNNNNNNNNNNGGCGGCGGCUGGCGGCGCCGCGCCGCGAGUGUCGGCGUCGGCCACUGUGGCCAAGGCGGCGUCGAGGCCGCCGGAGGGGGAAGCGCCGGGUAGCCUCCGGUGAUGGCCCCCGGCAUUGAGUACCACGACAGCGCCUGCUGACCCGCGGCCAUGGCUGGAUGGAGUGGUGGAGGUGGCCCGUACGGACUUGCCAAGUAGAGGUGGAUGCCCUGGACCGCGGCGACGAGGUCGUUGAGCACGCCGGCCAUGACCUCCGGUGUGAACUGCUGCGGCUGAGGGGGAGGUGACGGUGGCGGCGUGUGUUGGACGGGGGCUGGUGGCCGCCCGUGGCGCGGUGCCAGGUGCCGGGAGGGUCGGCGCCGAGAGCGACGCUGUGGCGCCCGCCGAGAGCGAGGCCAUGAUGCCUGGCGCGGAAGCGGCGGCGGUGGAGGAGUUAGCGGCAGCGUCGGUGGUGGAGUUGACGGGCAGCGGCGGUGGUGGCGGCGGCGAAGACAUGGUCGAAACCCGGGUACCUGAUACCAAAUUGGUAGGACUAGGGUUCCUACCGACUCGGUUCGUUAGGUUGUAGGGGCAGAACAGCGGAGGUCGGGGGCGAGCACGCGAGCUCCGGCGCGUCGGCGCCGUCGCGAGGGAGGAGAAGGGUGGCGGCGGUUAGGGCAGGAGAGGGCUAGGGUUUCCGGCUCCUCUGGAGCCGGGCAAUAGGAUAGAUAUAUCUUUAUUGCUUAAUUUCGAAAAGAGUCUUACAGCCUAUGUUUAUAACCUAGAUAACUUGCAUAAGAAUUAACCUAAGAUAACUUGCAUAAGAAUUAACCUAAGAUAACUUGUGGGCUAAGAUGCCCGGUGGGCCUAGCUAAACCGGCCAUAACAUAAUCUUUCCAAUUUGAGUUGUUAAUGCUGAUUUAAUUCUUUGACAUUUUUCUGAUCUGAUAUCAUGUAAUAAAAUAUAGUUUUUCUAAAAUGUAAGUAUCUCUGGGAAGCUUGGAAAUGUGUGAAGGGCUGCAUGUCAUUCUCGUCAUUUGCCUGUUUUAUUAGCUGGUGCCUUCAUGUUUGUAAUCAUAUUCGGAAUUGUCAUCACUACAGCGGAUGAAUUUGUAGUGAAUAUCAAUUUGAUACCUUUUCUUCCUGGUGCCCAUGCUUGAUCCUCAGAUGCUUUUGGGGCUAUUCUUUUGAAAAUCUUGCCACUGAGAACUCCAUUGAUGAAGACGGAAGCGGCAUUGAUGCAAAUGUAGAGUAUUGUUCUGUAAUAAAGACGAAAUUGGGCGCGCAUCGCAUUGUCAUGGGUGCUGAGAUGGACUGCUGUGAUUCAACCGACGAUGGUAGGCGGUUCUAUGUGGAGUUAAAAACAAGCAGAGAGGUUGUUCUUCUUUUCCAUGAGCUUUGAGUGUUCUGAUGCCACAUAUAUUCAAUCUAGUCACCACUCUGAAUUUUGUAACAGCUGGAGUAUCAUACGGUGGAAAAAUUCGAGAGAGAGAAGUUACUUAGGUUUUGGGUAAUUUCUUGUCCUCUUAUUUUUUAGCUAAUUGCAUGACACCAUUUUUUUUUAUCAUAACUAUCAUUUGCAACUUCUUAUUCUGUUCUCUUCCACAGCGUGAAAUUCUAUAUUGAAACUGUGCUCCAUAUGAUCUUAGAAAAGUUCCUUCUAUGAAGUUUCUUAGAUUUUUAAUUGACUCCCUUAAGUUCUGAGGAUGAUUUGUUUCUUAUAUGCGGGGACUGAGGAUAUAUGCUAACAACUUUACAUGGCGAUCUUGUUAUGAUUCUCUCUGCGAUCACAACUUCAGCUUCAUAGUAUUUUAUCUUCAGAAGUCAUAUCUUCUAUAUAGCUUGAAACAUUAACUUUUACUUUACUAAAUAUUACAGAUUCAAUCAUUCCUUGCUGGCGUGUCGUAUGUUGUUGUGGGAUUCAGGUAUUAUUCAAUCAUCACGGCACUCUUUGUUAGUACUUCAAGCUUCCUGUCAGAGAAUAAGUCCUAAGUCCUUAAUAUGAGAUGGUUUUCAAGAGUCUUUAUGGUUAUCAUAUAUGCAAGGAUUAUGGUAUGGGUAAUUGCUAUACUAUUGCUGUCAAUUAGAUACAGAAGGAAACCCAUUUCGUGUAUAUUUCAAAUUGCGAUGCUUAUCUGAAUUCUUCGUUGGGUUCUCAGCCCCAUACUCUCGAUUUGAAUGCACCAUACAUCAGAGCUUUAGUAUGUACUCCCUCCGUUCCUAAAUAUAAGUCUUUGUAGAGAUUCCACAAUGAACUACAUACGGAUGUAUAUAGAUGCAUUUUAAGUGUGGAUUUAUUCAUUUGGCUCCGUAUGUAGUCCACCGAGUGGAAUCUCUACAAAGACUUACAUUUAGGAACGGAGGGAGUAUCAAAUUAUCUAUUAUAACAGGCCUAAUGAUACAUAACUUUUUUGAGUUCGUAGUUCCUUCAGUUUAAUUUGUUUGACCACUUUUUAAGCAUUUUGUUCAAACCUUUGUGCUUACUGUUAGUGGUAUGAACAUAUCCCACCCAGUAUGGUCUUCUGUUCUACACAUUUAACACACUGCAUGCUACAUAACCUGUGGUUUUUGCUUAAUAAUGAGGCAUUCAAUCAGAAAGGCAUUCAAUUUUUUUUUUCGAGAAAACGCAGAAGACUUGCGUUUCAUUGUAUUGAAAAGAGGGGGUUUGUUAGAAUCCUCCUAGGAGGCGAGUUACAGGGCAAAUACCAGGGCAUUAGUGAACAUCCCAGGUUUGGGGCAGGAUGACGCGGAGGCCAAGGGCCCCUGCUCUGGCCCAAAGAGCAGCCUCGGCCUUGAUCGUGGCGAUCAGGGAGGGUGACCGAAGGGCGGUCUCUCUUGAAAACGCAGCCAUUGCGAUGUUUCCAAAUCAUCAUGGCACGAGCAGAGUGGCGGAGGCGAGGCCUUUGUGCAUCGGCUUGGGCGUGUUUCGUUUAGCCAGGCGCCACCAGUCGUGAAGCGUGGCGUCGUUGUUGGGCGGCAGGCAAGGGAGGCGCAGCCACGAGAGGAUCUCAUGCCACACCUGACGAGCGAAGGGGCAUCCCAGGAGUAGGUGGUGUAGUGUCUCUGGGGCCCGAUCGCAUAGCAGACAGCAGGGUGGGUGAGGCAGGUUACGGCGCGCGAGGCGGUUGGCAGUCCAGCAGCGGUCGAGGUUCGCAAGCCAGUGGAAGAAGCGCACCCGUGGUGGCGCCCAGCACUUCCAAGUAAGCCUCCAGGCCUGGCGAUGGGUGGAACCGUGGAAGGUGGCGAGGUAGGCAGACUUGGCCGAGUAUGCUCCAUUCUCAGUCCACUUCCAGCGAAGGCUGUCCGGCGUGUCGCCAAUCCUCUAACAUUGGCUAUAUGGUUGAUACAAUUAGGAAGGGGAGUACGAUUACCUUUUCUAUCUGACUCUGUUCACUGUUGUUUGCGAUGUGUAGAUGGAUUGGCUGUAAUGUUCAAAAUUGGUUUUAACUUGAUCAAGUUACACUCCUCUCUUUUUGGCUUUGCAGGAAUGAUGCUGGUGUACUUAUACGAACUGAGAGACUAAGAACUAAAGAUAUCACACAAAAAGUGAAAGCAAAGAGCUACUGGCAGGUAUACCAAAUUAAUUCCGUGUUGUUUAUUCACAACAGUGGAGUCUGAUAUGUAAAGGAAGAACAUGAGUGUGAGUAUAAUAUUAGAACUUAGAAGAGCAUAAUAACCUAUAUAAAAAAGUCGAAUAACUGGUUUGUCUUACAAAAUCUUAAAUAAUAGUGGAAAGGAGUGUACACUUACCAUUACUCUGAUGCCGCAUUCGCCUUUUCUGUUUUGACACGUAGGAUAAUUGAUAACUACCCUCUUUUGUAGGAGUACCAAAUUACUUGCUAUGCAACAUAUAUGUGACUAGCUCAAUUUUAAUUAAAUAUAUGGUUUUUAAUUACUUUCUUGCACUUCCCACUGUAAUAUUCAGGGUGGUGUCUGCUUGGCCUUUGCUGACGAGGUUUUAUGCUGGCUGUAUGGCACUGUCAAAGAAAGUGAGAAUUCCUUCACCACUCUACUAUAUGCAUUCACCUUCCUCUCUAAAAAAUAUGCACUUGUUGCCAUUCAUAAUCCUGAGUAGUUCUCUUCACGUGCGUGAUAUCGUUUGCCCCAUCUCUUGUAGAUGAAGACUACGUUCUGCAAUUUGCACACCCGUUCCAUCGAUUGGAACUAUUAAAAGCCCAAUCUCCGUGCCCCGAUGCAAUAACUCUGCAUGUGGAACAGCUCACCGGUGCAACAAACUAAUCUGUUCCCAAGCAAAGCUUCGGCGCUGAUGUUUCGCUAAACGGACAGUUUUGACGGACCUUACGUAGAAGCGUCGCGUCUUAGAAUGGCUUGAGCUAUAGUUCGAGGGGCUGAUGCGGAUGCAUAAGAGACUGACAGGGUCAUGCUAUAUGGUCGGUCGGUAACUGGGGGCAGCUAUGGUCACGGUUUGCUCUUUGAGUGCCCAAAGAGAUUUUGAAGCCAUCGAACACUGUAUUUCUUCUGUAAUACCAAGUUAUAAAUUAGGGAAGUGCAGAGUUACACAGCCAUUGUAACGGUUCAUCGCUCAAGGCACCAACGAUGUGUAACUUUUGCACCAAUGAUGAUAUUGAAUUUUAGAGACGGACGCUGCCAUGCCAUAGUAACAUGUGAAGAACACCCCUUGGAGUUAUGUAAUCUAGCGGUAUAUGCUAAGAGUUUAUUUUCAGCUUAUUAUGGAGAACAUCUGAUACGGCAUGGUUAGUCCAUGCUUUUUUUUUUUACCCAAGAACCGGCCGGAGCACUGCAUUUUCAUUUUUAUAUUGAAAGCAGGGUUUAUAAGUUUUUGUAGGGAAACUCAUCAAAACCCAUGAGACGUGGUUGUACCAUGUUCUUGAUCUGUUUUCUUAACGAAUUUAUUACUUUGUUUGUAACUUCAAAUGUGUGUAUCUAGCACAUUUGCAUCUUGUAUUGUUAGAUACUUAUGACUAGACACAUAAGACGUCUAACAUGUUUAAUGACUGUUGACUGUUUACAACCACCUCCCCAUCAAUUUCAAAUGUUUGAUGAGGGAUCAAUGUUGAAGAUGGUCAAUAAAAGAAGCAACUGAGGGAGUGGUAGAAAAUAACAUCAUCGAGUCGCUCGAGAAAUAGACGCUCCAAGAAGAAAUCAGAAAGUGACGGUAGUUAUAGACACCAGUGACAUCUGGCUUUUCCUUUUGGGUCGGCAGCUCUGACCGGAAGACAAAGAACAAAUAAGAGAAGCCGGUGUAGUAAGCAAACUCAAUUAGAUGCUCCAAAUGACGUUGCUAUACCACUACUAUAAGUCUGCUUGAGUUGACAAAGUCUAAGAUACACCACACAGCUUGCAAUCGCCGAGUCCGCCCGUCGUUGUUUCGCACCUAAUACCCCCCCGCCGCCCACACACACACCACCUUCACCAGCACCCAACUUUACCUGCUGAUUCCAAAGAGCAAAUCAAUGGCAGACACAGUCUGCUCUGCCGUCGCCGGUGAGGCAGUGCAAAGAUUAUGUUUGCUUUUAUCAGGGGAAAACGAGACCGGCGAGAUGAAGGUGGAUCGAGUAGAAAUGGCCGUGCUCAAGCUCGAGACCAUCAUCGCCAUCUCCGAAGACUGGCAGGUCACGCACGCCCCGCUGCUCCGUUGGAAGGCCAAGUUGAAGCGUGUGAUCAAGGAAGGCAAAGGCAUCAUACGCUCCAACAAAAGAAACACCAGUGCCUUGGAGGAGCUGGGGAAGGCGCGAAGCAACUCCUUCCCACGGCGCGUGGCGCGAGCAGCCAAGCGGUUCAUGCCGUUCAGCCGGGGUACAACUUCCGGGGACGAUCUGACCGACUCCGCGGUAAGGAGGUUCGAGAGGAUAGCCGACGGCGCCGACGGCUUCUUCGAGCUCGUCAGGUGCGGCGGCCGUCCCAAGACCCUCAUGUUCCUCCCGUCGUUCGCGCGGUCGUUGGCGGCUGGGGAAGCGGCGGAACUGUCGCUCAGGAUGGAGGGCGGCACCGCGGUGAUGCUGCUCCAGCCAUGGUGGCUUGAGCUCGAAGGAGGCGACGGGACGGCGGCGGCGGCGGCGUGCCUGUGGAUGUCCUACGAGCACGACGUGGCGUGGGAGAAGAACUUCAAGAUGAUGGCGGCGUUCCGUUUCUCCGAGUCCCUGGACACCAUGAGGGUCGCCACGAGCUGCGUCGAGCUCCUCCCGCCCCAGUUCGGCGCUGCCCGUGAGGCCAUGAAGGAUCUCCUCGCCGAGAUGGCCGUCCACGGAAGGAACUCCCCUGCUCCGUCUGCCAUGUACCCGUCCUUCGUUCGCGCCGUCCAACGCUGCCACCGCUACGGCUUCGAGCCGACGCGGCCCCGCGCCGCGCCACGGUCACGGUCGCCCGCUGAGAUCCUGAUGGCGUGCGCCCACUUCUACAUCCUCCCGCUCCAGAAUUCGUCCGGUUUGCCCUUGGAGCUGGUCUGGCACAGCUCCCCGUUUUACCUGCCCAAGAAGCUCUCGGAGCAGCACGAGCACGUCGAGCCGGAGCAGAUACGCGCCGGCCUGUUGCCGACGACGGCAGAUGGGUUUUCCUACCACGACGAGGCAGGAGGAUCAUUCAAGCGCGGGCGGCAGUGGUGGUGUCCGCACAGCUCGACGCGCCUGUCGGUAGUGCCGGUGUCUUCACCGCCCAAAUCUGUUGUGCAGUGGUGCAAGGGAAGUUGGACAUUUCGCGGGAAAUAAAGCUCUGUGCCAUCUAGACAUCUAGUACCAGUGUCCUUUUUUUAGGAGCAUACUGUAUCCAGUACCAGUGUCAGAUGCAUGAGGUCCAAAAUAUUUUCUAGCUAUGCAACUUUUCUGCCAUAUAAUUCACAUUUUUAUUGCUAAUUGAUCAAACUUCGAUCUUCAAAUGCGCGGGCACAUCACAUGAAAAUGUUGCUAAAUGGAGUAGAUUUCAAUGUAAGUUGUGUGCUCGGACCUUUUCUCUAAAAAACUGCACCUUUCGAGAGUAUUGCCUCUAAUCUUGUACAGUGUACACACAAGAAUUUGACUAGCUAAAUUUUAAUUAAAUAUAUGGGUUUUAAUUACUUUCUUGUACUUCCCACUGUAAUAUUCAGGGUGGUGUAUGCUUGGCCUUUGCUGACGAGGUUUUAUGCUGGCUGUAUGGCACUGUCAAAGAAAGUGAGAAUUCCUUCAUCACUUUUAUUGGUGUCGGCGUUCUGAGAUUGGGGUACCCAGACUUGUCUGCGUGCAGCCCAGCGCGCGGACUCCUCGACGGCCCGGUGCGGCCCAGCUAUAAAACCCCCAGGACAAGGCCCUUGCGAGGACCCCUUGCGAGGCGGAUGACGCCAAGACCUCUCGAGGAGCGGUGCCCCGGGCCUGUCUCCGGAGGAGCGGGGACUUCUAUGCAGGUACCCAGCCUCACGAGGCUCUCAAUGACGUGAGCCAUGACGACCAGGGCCAGACGAGCGCCAGCGGAUGCAGUGAAGGACAGUUUUCUCUUUGGUGCUAAGGAGGCAAGGACGUACGCGGGUUUCCAAGGAAUCCCCCAAAGGUUUCUUCCAGUGCAACAAGACCAAGACCACGAGCUCGGUAGGACGGAUGUCAUCGCCGAGCCCACCUCUGCGUCACGACCAGAAGCUUUGCAAGCGAAGACCACCUUUCUUCCGGAUAAAAUGUACUUCUUGUCCCCUUUUAAAUUGGCCGUUGUGGAAUCCCUUCCCGCCUAAGUUAUGAGGGAAGAUGACCAAUGCCACUAUAAGUAUAGGCUAGUCUCCACCGUAGAGAACGACCGGAUCCAUUCCACCUUCACACCCAGAGCCCUCGCGAGGCAGCUCAUCCAUUGUACUAGUUCAUCCACAACCUCCUCGUGAGGUCAAUCCACCACAAAGCAGGAGUACGGUUUUACACCACAAGGUGGCCCGAACCUGGGUAAACUAUCGUGUCCUUCCUUCCCCGCUCGCACAAACUCGAUUAGGCAAGGCCAUGGGGCGAUGGGCUUAAGGCUGGGGCUAGUUUAGAUCUUCGCACACGCCCCAAAGUUCGAACCUUGCUUGGGUCCGCGGAGCUCGAUUCCGACAUUUGGCGCGCCACGUAGGGGCGUGUCAAAAUCUCCCUUCCUACUCCGCUUCUUCUCCGUCCUGCCGCUCCUAUGGCCGACGCCUGCCGAGUCUGCGCCGAGCUCCGAGCUGCUCGAGUCACCCAGACGGUGCCCGUAGGCCGCGGUGUCCCGCGCCGCUCUGCCUCUCCCGCAGCUAACGCUGCCACCGACCCUGCUGCUCACAAGCAGCAAGACUCGUCGCUGCCACCCUUCGUGCGGUGCGAUGGCCGCACCUCCACUCCUUCUCUCACUCCCGCCAUGGUGUCAUCCUCCCACGCUUGUCGCGGGCUGGUGAAUGCGCAGGCUGCGCUGCUCAUGGCGCGCGAGAUGCUACGCUACCGCCUCGCCGACGAGGGCUACGACGCUUGGCUGGGCCGCAUCACCGAACUGUCAACGCCGCCGGUGAGUCCCCAACGCCCUCCCACUCACUCCACCGCCGCCCUCCCGGGUGGGUGACGUGGCCCACGGCGCACCUUCGCCUCCUCCUCUGUGUGACGCCGACCCCAAGCCUAGGCACGACAUGCCUCCGCAUGACCUGCUACCGGGGCGCCGUCGCGAGCACGGGAUGAGGCAAGCUGUCAGGUGGUGCAGCGGCCGCAAGGUGACGCACGUGCGCUCCCCGCACCGCCGUGCCAGCAUCAAGACCGCGCGCCGCCUAAGGCUGCGGCGUGUGGACGUCAAGAUCGAUCUCCCCUCGCGUGCCACUCCUGUGAGUGCAGCGGGGUACCGCACCUUCACCCCAGAGCCGCGCUGCGCCGUUUGGCCCAGCAAGUUGAAGCCAGACCUACCUCCAUGCUACAACAGCACCCCCGAACCUGCUGAGUUUCUCCAGCUCUACUCUUCGAGCAUCGAGGCGGCAAACGGCGAUGACAAGGUCAUGGCAAACUGGUUUCCCAUGGCCCUCAAGGAUGGCACGCGCUCCUGGCUCCUGCACCUCACGGAGGGGUCGAUCUCCUCCUGGGACGAGCUCCGCGAGUGCUUCAUCACCAACUUCCAGGGCACCCGCGACCGCGCUCCCGCGGUGAAUGGCCUGUGGCGCGUGAAGCAGCAGCCUGGAAAGACCCUCCACAAGUACGUACAACGCUUCACGAACGUUCGCCUCAAAACCCCUAAGGCGUCGGACGAGGCCAUCAUCUCGGCGUUUACCGAUGGUGUCAGGGACUUCAAGAUGCGCGAGGAGAUCGCCAUCCAUGACAACUUGUGCUCGGCCCUGGAGAUAUUCAACUUGGUGAACAAGUGCGCAAAGGCCGAGGAGGGCCGCCUCUCCCUCCCCGAGCAUCCGAAGGUCGACCCCGAGGACAAGAAGGCCAAGGCUAAGGAAGCAAGGUGCAAGGGCCCCAUGGUACUGGGAGCAGAGCCCGAGACGGAGCGCGGCCAUGACCAUGGUGAACCUCGCAGGGGUAACCGCCCGUUCUACGCAUUUCACAACGUGCAUAGCCACAACACCAAUGACUGCCAGGAGCUCAGGGUUAUCCGCGAUGAGCGCCUUGGUCGCCGCCCCGAGCAUGACGAACGUGGCUUCGGUCAUGGAGGAGGCCGCGGCGGAGGCCGCUGGGACAACCGCAACCCUCAUCAAGACUGGCAUGACCAGCCUCAUGAGGAUCCCCGGCGCGUGAUCAACCUUGCGACGGUCCCUGACGUGACCAGCCUCGUGAGGCCCACCCACAGGGUAAUGCCGGCAUCCCUCGCUGCCACCGCCACCAAGGAGGAACGACGACAACCAUCAGGACGAGGGGGUUGGGGGCUUCCAGGAGCCCCGCGCGAUCGCCUGCAUCCCUAGUUGGUGCCCAAGCCCCUGCAUAAAACCGCAUCUUCAAGCAGUUCUCUUGUGAGGUGAAUGCAGCCCUCCCGAAGCUUGAGGCCGUGCGUCCCCUCAAGUGCUCGCAGUACACCAUUACCAUCGACUCCAAGGACCACCUCAAGUGCUUGGCCGCCACCGAUGCGCUCCCCAUGCUCUACAUGCCCACCAUCAGCAACGUCUAUGUCACCAAGACUCUCGUCACUGGUGGCGCAUGGCUCAACGUUCUUUUCGUCGAGACGUUUGAGAUGCUUCAGGUGCCCUAUGAUCAGCUCAUGCCUACCAAGCCGUUCUCUGGGGUGACCGACUGGUCCACCGUCCCCUGGGACAGGUGCGCCUCCCUGUCAUCUUUGGCAAGCCGACAACUACCACACCGAGCUCAUCAACUUCGACGUCGCCCAUAUCAGCCUCCCGUACAAUGCCAUCCUGGGAUACCCUUGAUGGAAAUAUGUCCUAGAGGCAAUAAUAAAGUUGUUAUAUUAUAUUUCCUUAUUCAUGAUAAAGGUUUAUUACUGAUGCUAGAAUUGUAUUGACCGGAAACUUAAAUGCAUGUGUGGAUACAUAAACAAAUACCGUGUCCCUAGUGAGCCUCUAGUAGACUAGCUCGUUGAUCAAAAGAUGGUUAAGGUUUCCUAACCAUAGACAUGUGUUGUCACUUGAUAAUGGGAUCACAUCAUUAGGAGAAAGAUGUGAUGGACAAGACCCAUCCGUUAGCAUAGCAUUUGAUCGUUUAGUUUAUUGCUACUGCUUUCUUAAUGUCAAAUACAUAUUCCUUCGACCAUGAGAUCAUGCAACUCCCGAAUACCAGAGGAAUACCUUGUGUGCUAUCAAACGUGACAACAUAACUGGGUGAUCAUAAAGAUGCUCUACAGGUAUCUCUGAAGGUGUCUGUUGAGUUGGCGUGAAUCGAGAUUGGGAUUUGUCACUCCGUAUGACAGAGAGGUAUCUCUGGGCCCUCUUGGUAAUACACAUCAAAAGAAGCUUGCAAGCAAAGUGACUAAGGAGUUAGUUGCAAGAUGAUGUAUUACGGAACGAGUAAAGAGACUUGCUGGUAACGAGAUUGAACUAGGUAUAGAGAUACCGACGAUCGAAUCUCGGGCAAGUAACAUACCGACAGACAAAGGGAAUUACGUAUGCUGUCAUAAAGGUUCAACCGAUAAAAUAUCUUCUGGAAUAUCUAGGAAUCAAUAUGGGCAUCCAUGUCCCACUAUUGGCUAUUGACCGGAGAGGUGUCUCGGUCAUGACUACAUAAUUCCUGAACCCGCAGGGUCGCACGCUUAACGUUCGUUGACGCUAGAGUAGUAUUGGGAUAUUUGACGAGUGGUAACCAAAUGUUGUUCAGAGUCCCGGAUGAGAUCCGAGACGUCACGAAGAGUCUCGUAAUGGUCAAGAGGUAAAGAUUUAUAUAUAGGAAGUUAUAUUUUGGGUUCCAAAAAAAGGUGCAGUUUUUUCGGUAUUGUACCGGGAAGCUUGCAGAAGGUUCCGGAGGAUUCCAAAAGGGUUCGAAAGUCCACAAGUGGGUCCACCACGACCCAAGGGCUAUAAUGGGCUGCGGGGAGGUACCCUGGCCUUUUCGGUCUAGGCGCACCAAUUCCUCAAAAGCCCAUGUGGCUAGGGAAGGCAAAAAAGGAAGGAGUCCUAGUAGGAAUAGGAUUGGACUUGCAGUCCCAGUCCUCUCCCCUUAGCUGCACCCUAGGGCUUGGAGGUGCUGUUUCCCACGCCCCUCCACCUAUAUAUAGAGGGUAGGGGGCGCCCUAAGAGGAUACACCAAGCCCUUGGCGCCCCUCUCUCUCCCGCUACUCCAUAGUUCCACCGCCUCGUCCCGACGACGCUUAGCAAAGCGCUAUCGGUGCUCCACCACCACCAUCACCACCAUGUCAUUGUGUUGGUUGUGAUCCCAUCUACUUCUCCUCUCCCGCUUGCUGGAUCAAGAAGGAUAAGACGUCAUCAAGCCACACGUGUGCUUAACUCGGAGGUGCCUUCCGUUCGGCACUAGAUCGGUUGGAUCGUGAUCGGAUCGCGAAGGAUAUGACUACAUCAACCGCGUGAUAAACGAUUCUGCUUAGCGACCUACAAGGGUAUGUAGAUGCUCUUCCCCUCUUGUAGAUAUGCAUCUCCAUGGAUAGAUCUUGCAUGUGCAUAGAAAAAAUUUGGUUUUCCAUGCAACGUUCCCCAACAACCCAUGCCCUAAUUGACAUGUUCAUGGCGGCCGUUCAUCAUGGCUACAAUGUCCUCAAGAUGCCUAGGUGCAGCGGCAUAAUCAUAGUCACCUGUGAUGAGAAGGAUGCAGUGUGCUCUCUUGAGCACACUUACCGCGACGGCUAAAAACUCUGACAACGAGGGCGACAUCUUGCCUCCUGAGGCCACCCCCGCAAAGAAGAAGCAGCUCCUCCCCAAGAGCCAUCAAGAGACCGAGAUGCCCGCUAGAGGUGCCUCAGGCUCCACGCCCGCUACUGGGGCGCCCCUUCCUCCUGCAUAGGAAGGCGCGCCCGGCGCCUCCCUCAGGACGGGCUCAAGGGAUUCUGUCUGGAGAGCCUCCGAUGUGACCAAUGCAACGAGGGAGGUGUUCGGGCACCACUUGGAGGCGUGCCUCAGCACACGCCCACACGAGCAAGGAGCACGGCACGAGGCACCAGGAUCACGGGAGUUCAUCACAAGGCGAUCGAGGAGCUUCAGGAGGCGCAAGCCAUGCGUGGCGAGUGCCACCCCGCACGGUCUACCAGUGCAGCUGCCGCCCCUGACGUGGGUGGCGAGCUGCAAGUCUGGUCAACAUCCCGGGCCUCAACAGGGCCGCUUCGCAGGACCUCUUCUGGCCGUCGCAUGUCAGCCGUAGUGGUGGCUACCCCUGCAUCUACGUCCGCAUGCCGUUCGGCCUGCUGAACAUGGGUGCCUCGUACCAGCGCCUCGCGCAGCGUGCUAUGGCGUCUCAUGAGGCCAGGCGCUUGGCGGUCGCAUCUCAGGAGGUCCCGGACCCUUGCGAGCCCCCUGGGACUCAUGAGCUCCACAGGCCUCCGGAGCCGCCCAGCUCAUGAGGAGCAAUCUCCACAACACGCUUCUUCAGCUACCUCGACACUUCUACAACACCGGUGCCAGGUGAAUUUUUGCUUUGUUCAAAUGAGGGCGCCCCUCGGGCUGCAUUAUCCUCAAGCUAUCUGGGCCCGCCCCUACAGCUCUAUCAUUUUGCGCAUGUAUCAGAACUAGAUGGUGGGGGAAGUGUGUAGGUUGUUGAAGUCCUUAUAUGGCCUGAAACAAGCACCUAAGCAAUGGCGUGAGAAGUUUAUUACAACUUUGACAUCUGUUGGGUUCGUUGUUAAUGAAGCUGACAAAUGUGUAUACUAUCGCCAUGGUGAGGGUGAAGGAGUUAUACUGUGCUUGUAUGUUGAUUACAUACUGAUAUUUGGAGCCAACCUCAAAGUGAUUGAGGAGGUUAUGCCAUUUUUUAUCUCAGAACUUUGAGAUGAAGGACCUUGGGGUGGCUGAUGUUAUCUUGAACAUCAAGCUAUUGAGACAUGAUGAGGGUGGGAUCACACUUUUGCAAUCCCAUUAUGUUGAGAAGGUGUUGAGUCUUUUUGAUAUUCGGACCGCACCAUCUCAAACACCAUGUGAUCCUAGUGUGUUGAUUCAAAAGUUUGAAGGCACAACUCAGGAUAAAUUGAUAUACUCUCAAAUCAUUGGUUCACUCAUGUAUCUAGCGAACGCAACGAGGCCUAGCAUCACGUUUGCCAUGAGCAAACCGAGCUGGUUUGUUUCCAAACCAGGUGAUGUACAUUGGCAUGCUAUUGAAAGAGUUAUGUGCUAUCUGAAAGGUACUAUGAACUAUGGACUUCACUAUACCGAAUACCUGCCGGUACUUGAAGGGUAUAGUGAUGUGAAUUGGAUCUUUGAUGCUGAUGAGAUGAAGGCCACAACAGGGUAUAUGUUUACUCUUGGAGGUGCAAGCAAACGAUCUUAACAAGGUCGACAAUGGAAGCAAAAUUAACAACAUUAGACACGUUUGGUGUCAAAGCAGAAUGACUUCAAGAUAUUUUGAUGGACUUGCCAUUGGUUGAGAAGCCGGUUCCGGAUAUCCUUAUGAACUGUGACAAUCAAACUGUUAUUGCCAAAAUUAAAAGUUAAAAGGACAACAUGAAGUCCAAAAAACAUAUAAGAAUGAGUUUAAAAGUUGUCAGAAAAUUAAGAAACUCCGAAGUGACAGCAUUUGAUUAUGUUCAAAUGGCUAAGAAUCUGGCAUAUCCUUUUACUAAAGGGCCAUCACGUGUUGUGAUAGAUAAUACAUCGAGGGAGAUGGGUAUGUGAUGAGGACAUCAAUACCAUUGUUACACCCACAGCCCGUGCUGCUAUACAUACUGGACCAAUUACUAGAGCUCACGCACACCAAUUAAAUUACAAGGUACUUUCGUUUCUUGGUAAUGAUUCUAGUGUUCAUGAAAAUAUGAUGCUGCCUAAAUUGGAUACAUUUGUCUUGCUUACAAAUGAAGGGCCUAGCUUGGACAAGAAGGAUGAACAUUGGAGAAAGAUCAAGCAUAGAGAUGAUGGCAUGCGCAAGGGGAACAAGAACGGAGUUACAAGUGAUGAUUUUAGGACUUUGAAGCCACCAUAAUGAGUGCAUGAAGCCUUGGACAAAAUAUACAGGAUGUCACUUCAUAAAUUUCGUCUAGAGGCUAUCAUAGGUGUUGCGUCACCUUAUUAUUGGGCCAGGCCCAUGUAAUUUCGAAAUACUGAAGUAUAGGCUAUUUUUAGAGUCCGUAUGUAUGGGGAAAACAGAGUUAGGUUGGUUUUGGACCCCUCCUCCAAGGGGCCAUGAAAUUCCCCCCUCUUCCUCCAUAUAUACAGCCCUUAGGGCAUCGUUUAGACUAAAAGUUUGCCAUAACUGCAACUUCUCGUACUUCGUUUGUGUUCAACGACCAAACCAAGACGUCACAGAACCCCACUUUCAUCAAUAAAGUUUUCCUCUUAUAUUCGCAAUAUCCAGAUUGCAAUCUUAGUUUCUUGCUUGUUCUUCGUUUGCUCGCAGGAAAUAGACCCUCGUGGUUAGGUUGAUCGUGCUCCGGCAUGGUCAAUAACCCCUCGGAAGUUGGUUUAGCGAAUGCUAAGGUGCGACGUCUUCGCACGUUUGUAGUCAGAUCGUCAAACUCGACUCCCACAGAAAUGAUAGCUAUAUCAUCAAAACAUUGGGACACCUUUGCCUCUGUCAAGUGGUAUCAGAUUUCUAGGUUGCUCGAUGAGAUUUUCCAGUUUUUCAUAGUUUAGAUCGAGUCUGUUCUUCAUACCCACAGUCCAUGAAAAAGGAAAAAAAAAUUAGGGUUAGUUGAUCAUAUCCGAACCAAUCUGAGCCUUUGCAUAAUAUUUUUGGGGUUUUUGCUUUGUUGAAUUUGCGGUUGCAUCGUCGUGUCUAGUUACUGGUCUUAGCGUCUAGUACUUUAGAGUUUCGAGUUCUAUCACAGUUUGUCACGCCACCGCCGCACCAUCUUCAUCACUGCUGCCAUAUUCCACCACCGCUGCCAUAUAUCAACACCGCUGCCAUAUCCUACCACAGCUGCCAUAUACCACCACCACUGCCAUAUCCUACCACCGCUGUCAUAUACCACCACCACUGCCAUAUCCUACCACCAUAUAUCCACCACCAAUCCGAGUUCUUUGCACAUUAGGUUUGUUUCGAGAUCCAUCUAUUUUCUGAUCCGUGUUUCCUUGCCUGAGUAGGUUUCGAAAAAAAAGUCUGGAGAACCCCUGGUAGUUUUUAGGCCAAAAUUUUAGCUGGUGAAAAUAUUUUCCCUAUCCUAUUUUAGGCUUUUCUGAGUCUUUUGAGACAUGUGACAUCAUAUUGAUUUUUUAUCACACUUUUUGGUCAUUGCUGCCCUGAUUUCAAAAAAAAAAUAGUCAACAAAAAUUUCGUGCCUAUCCUUUUAUUUUGACUUGGGAAGAGUUUUGAGACACUCGCCAUUAUAGUGAUUUUCGACAAAAAAAAGGAGCGCAAAAACAAAGAGCGCACAAAAUAAUUCCUAAGUGAGCUUUUCCCUUGUUUCUGUGUCACAACGUUAUUUCGUUAGUGUUCUAGGCUCGCGUCUCUAGCACGGUCUAGUCUAGGACCAGCACAGUACCAUCGUUGAGCAUUUGUUCAGCUUUGCAUCUCUGAAUUGAUUAUUGCUGAACCUUUUUGCUACCAUAUUAUAAGCCUUCCCAGCUCCAUAUAUAUCUACAUCGUGAAUUUGACUCUCCCUGGUAAUCGCUCUAUUCAAGCUUUGAGAGUUUUGACUACAACGGUGGCCGAUCACCACUUGCUGAUGGGUAAGAAAUGGUAAGAAUUUGAGAUUUGCUUGAUGGAUUUGUGACACCCCACCACCACCACUUUCUAGUAGUCUGUAGGAUCAUAUUCUUGUGUGUUUCUAUUGCUGCUAACCAUGGCAGGACCACAAGCCGACAAGAUUGACUGGGAGAACAUGACGAAGAAGGAUCUUCAUGAUAAAUUUUAGCAAAUGUUGAGUCAACAGGUGGAAGACGUGAUGGCCAGCUUUGGAAAGGCACUAGAGAGGAUUGAUGACAUUGAGAAGACAAUUGACACCAAGUUGGAUGCCAAGUUUGAUGAAGUACUCACCUACCACAACCACCACCCGCAUCUGCUACACCAUUGCAACAACAUCAACAACCACCUCCACGCCGCGAUCCAGCAGGGCAAGCGCAACGUGUUCCUAUUGAGCCAGGACAAACUUUUGGUGCCGCUGCUACUGUUGUUGAUGCUUAUGUAGCUCCUGCUACUACUGCAGAGGUGGAGGACUAUUAUGAGGAUGAGGUUGAUCAAAAUCAGAACUACGUGCAACCACCAGCACCACCACCACCAGGUCGACCUCAUGCAUAUAAUCGCAAUGGUAGGGCUGCACCACCACCUCAGGUACGAGAUUAUGACCAUAUUCCUAAACUAAAAUUGAAUAUUCCACUGUUUGAGGGUAGAUACAUUCCUGAUGUAUAUCUUACUUGGGAGUUAGAAACUGAACAAUGUUUCACAUGCUUGCAAUAUCCUGAAGAUAGACGUGUUGCUGCUACUAUUUGUAAAUCCACCUAUUUUGCUUCUGUUUGGUGGUCUGAACAUUGUAGAUUAUAUCAUGAUAAUAUCCCUACUACUUGGGCUGCUUUGAAAACUGCUAUGCGUACUCGUUGGGUUCCACCAUAUUAUCAACGUGAAUUACUUCAAAAACUGCAGCGUUUGAGACAAGAAAAAAAUUAUGUAGAGGAGUAUUAUCAGGAAUUACAAACUCGCAUGAUUAGAUGUGGUAUUGUUGAGGAUAAUUAAGCUAUGCUUGCACGUUUUAUAGGUGGAUUAAAUAGAGAGAUUCAGACAUUUUAGAAUAUAAGGAGUAUAACAAUAUCACUCGUUUAUUCCAUCUUGCUUUCAAAGCUGAACGUGAAGUGCAAGAUCGACAAGCAUUGUCGCUGACUAAUUUUUUUGCAGGUCGACCUUCAUCAUAGACAUCGCGUGCAUCUUCUACUUCCACAUGUUCUGCUUGAUACGUUCCAUCGUAUCUACUUUUCCAAACACUUUUUUCCCUUGUUUUGUACUCUAACUUGCAUGAUUUGAAUGGAACUAACCCGAACUGACGUUGUUUUCAGCAGAACUGCCAUGGUGUUAUUUUUGUGCAAAAAUAAAAGUUCUCGGAAUGACCUGAAAAUGCACGGAGCAACUUUUUGGAAUUAAUAAAAAAUACUGGUGAAAGAAUUAGCACCAAGGGGCUCACACCCUGUCCACGAGGGUGGGGGGCGCGCCCCCUGCCUCGUGGGCCCCCUGGACCUCCACCGACCUCAACUCCAACUCCAUAUAUUCAUGUUUGCAGAGAAAAAAAUCAGAGAGAAAGUUUCAUCGCGUUUUACGAUACGGAGCCGCCGCCAAGUCCUAAUCUCUCUCGGGAGGGCUGAUCUGGAGUCUGUUCGAGGCUCCGGACAGGGGGAUUCA